RNAcentral lists this transfer RNA (71 nucleotides) under Loxodonta africana (African savanna elephant). It matches the Rfam family "tRNA". From Rfam's summary of the family: Transfer RNA (tRNA) molecules are approximately 80 nucleotides in length. Their secondary structure includes four short double-helical elements and three loops (D, anti-codon, and T loops). Further hydrogen bonds mediate the characteristic L-shaped molecular structure. tRNAs have two regions of fundamental functional importance: the anti-codon, which is responsible for specific mRNA codon recognition, and the 3' end, to which the tRNAs corresponding amino acid is attached (by aminoacyl-tRNA synthetases). tRNAs cope with the degeneracy of the genetic code in two manners: having more than one tRNA (with a specific anti-codon) for a particular amino acid; and 'wobble' base-pairing, i.e. permitting non-standard base-pairing at the 3rd anti-codon position. Lineage: Eukaryota; Metazoa; Chordata; Mammalia; Proboscidea; Elephantidae. The record is from Rfam by way of RNAcentral.
GCAGUGGUGGGUCAGUGGUAGAAUGUUCACCUUUUAUGCAGGAGACCCAGGUUCUAUUCCAGGCCAAUGCA